This 459-nucleotide ribosomal RNA is filed under the name uncultured bacterium. Its description in RNAcentral is "partial 16S ribosomal RNA". It matches the Rfam family "Bacterial small subunit ribosomal RNA", at positions 338 to 795 of the family's 1533-position model. The record is from RNAcentral.
CCUACGGGUGGCAGCAGUGAGGAAUAUUGGUCAAUGGGCGGGAGCCUGAACCAGCCAAGCCGCGUGAGGGAAGAAGGUACAGCGUAUCGUAAACCUCUUUUGUCAGGGAACAAAGGCGGGGACUAGUCCCCGGAUGAGGGUACCUGAAGAAGAAGCAUCGGCUAACUCCGUGCCAGCAGCCGCGGUAAUACGGGGGAUGCGAGCGUUAUCCGGUUUUAUUGGGGUUAAAGGGUGCGCGGCGGGACUGUUAAGUCAGCGGUAAAAGCCCGGGGCUCAACCCCGGCGAGCCGUUGAAACUGGCGGGCUUGAGUUGGAGAGAGGUAGGCGGAAUGCGCGGUGUAGCGGUGAAAUGCUUAGAUAUCGCGCAGAACACCGAUUGCGAAGGCAGCGUACCGGCUCCACACUGACGCUGAGGCACGAAAGCGUGGGUAUCGAACAGGAUUAGAUACCCUAGUAGUC